UGGGGAAUCUUGCGCAAUGCACGACAGUGUGACGCAGCAACGCCGCGUGGGGGAAGAAGGCCUUCGGGUUGUAAACCCCUUUCAGGAGGGACGAAGCUUGGCGGGUUAACAGCCGGCCCAAGUGACGGUACCUCCACAAGAAGCCCCGGCUAACUACGUGCCAGCAGCCGCGGUAAUACGUAGGGGGCUAGCGUUGUCCGGAAUUAUUGGGCGUAAAGAGCGUGUAGGCGGUUCGAUAAGUCCGCUGUGAAAGUCGAGGGCUCAACCCUCGAAUGCCGGUGGAUACUGUCAAGCUAGAGUCCGGAAGAGGCGAGUGGAACUCCUGGUGUAGCGGUGAAAUGCGCAGAUAUCAGGAAGAACACCAAUGGCGAAGGCAGCUCGCUGGGACGGUACUGACGCUGAGACGCGAAAGCGUGGGGAGCGAACAG
Molecule: ribosomal RNA, 428 nt
Filed under: uncultured bacterium
Lineage: Bacteria
Description: bacterial SSU rRNA
Rfam family: Bacterial small subunit ribosomal RNA
Source: RNAcentral